RNAcentral lists this unclassified non-coding RNA (400 nucleotides) under uncultured fungus. RNAcentral describes it as "sequence contains ITS1". The stretch from base 1 to 109 matches the Rfam family "5.8S ribosomal RNA", at positions 50 to 154 of the family's 154-position model. Lineage: Eukaryota; Fungi. The record is from RNAcentral.
GAAAUGCGAUACGUAAUGUGAAUUGCAGGACUCAGUGAAUCAUCAAAAUCUUGAACGCACAUGGCGCCCUAGAGUCUCCGGACUCUGGGGCAUAUCUGUUUGAGUGUCACAUAACCCUCUCAUACACACCCAGUUUGCCUUUGCGGGCUCAUUGCGCGUGCGUGUGGACGUUGACCGUUGUGUAGCUCGUCUGCACAUCGGUUUAAAAGCAGUGGUGAGCGGUUGCUGGACAACACUCCGCACACAGUGACUGGGUAGUGUUUCGACACAAACUAGUCUACUGGCUUACGUGUGGGCUCAUAGUGUUACCGGCUAGGCCGUGCGCCUCAAACCGGCGCAGCGCUAAAUACGCUGCAUACCCUUAUGACCUCAAAUCAGGUAAGAAUACCCGCCGAAUUUA